AUUGAACGCUGGCGGCAGGCCUAACACAUGCAAGUCGAGCGCGAAAUUUCCUUCGGGAAUGAGUAGAGCGGCGGACGGGUGAGGAACGCGUAGGAAUCUACCUAGUAGUGGGGGACAACAAUCGGAAACGGUUGCUAAUACCGCAUAAGCCCUAAGGGGGAAAGCAGGGGAUCUUCGGACCUUGCGCUAUUGGAUGAGCCUGCGUCGGAUUAGCUAGUUGGUGGGGUAAUAGCCUACCAAGGCAACGAUCCGUAGCUGGUCUGAGAGGAUGAUCAGCCACACUGGGACUGAGACACGGCCCAGACUCCUACGGGAGGCAGCAGUGGGGAAUAUUGGACAAUGGGCGCAAGCCUGAUCCAGCCAUGCCGCGUGUGUGAAGAAGGCUCUAGGGUUGUAAAGCACUUUCAGUAGGGAGGAAAAGUUAGUAGUUAAUAACUGCUAACCCUGACGUUACCUACAGAAGAAGCACCGGCAAACUCCGUGCCAGCAGCCGCGGUAAUACGGAGGGUGCGAGCGUUAAUCGGAAUUACUGGGCGUAAAGCGCGCGUAGGCGGUUUGAUAAGCUGGAUGUGAAAGCCCUGGGCUCAACCUGGGAAUUGCAUCCAGAACUGUCUGACUAGAGUACAGUAGAGGUGAGUGGAAUUUCCUGUGUAGCGGUGAAAUGCGUAGAUAUAGGAAGGAACAUCAGUGGCGAAGGCGACUCACUGGACUGAUAC
Molecule: ribosomal RNA, 716 nt
Filed under: bacterium IMCC11753
Lineage: Bacteria
Description: bacterial SSU rRNA
Rfam family: Bacterial small subunit ribosomal RNA
Source: RNAcentral